RNAcentral lists this ribosomal RNA (468 nucleotides) under uncultured bacterium. RNAcentral's name for it is "partial 16S ribosomal RNA". It matches the Rfam family "Bacterial small subunit ribosomal RNA", at positions 28 to 507 of the family's 1533-position model. The record is from RNAcentral.
GACGAACGCUGGCGGCGUGCUUAACACAUGCAAGUCGAACGGAAAGGCCCUGCUUUUGUGGGGUGCUCGAGUGGCGAACGGGUGGGUAACACGUGAGUAACCUGCCCUUGACUUUGGGAUAACUUCAGGAAACUGGGGCUAAUACCGGAUAGGAGCUCCUGCUGCAUGGUGGGGGUUGGAAAGUUUCGGCGGUUGGGGAUGGACUCGCGGCUUAUCAGCUUGUUGGUGGGGUAGUGGCUUACCAAGGCUUUGACGGGUAGCCGGCCUGAGAGGGUGACCGGCCACAUUGGGACUGAGAUACGGCCCAGACUCCUACGGGAGGCAGGAGUGGGGAAUAUUGCACAAUGGGCGGAAGCCUGAUGCAGCAACGCCGCGUGCGGGAUGACGGCCUUCGGGUUGUAAACCGCUUUCGCCUGUGACGAAGCGUGAGUGACGGUAAUGGGUAAAGAAGCACCGGCUAACUACGUG